RNAcentral lists this long non-coding RNA (205 nucleotides) under Vigna radiata. Its description in RNAcentral is "long non-coding RNA (VRAD_LNC001746)". Lineage: Eukaryota; Viridiplantae; Streptophyta; Magnoliopsida; Fabales; Fabaceae. The record is from RNAcentral.
ACCAAAACCUGCUUAGCACUCAUCAGUAAGUGCUUCUCCUUCCAACGCCCAUCAGUAGGUGUACUUACCUUGUAUCCUUCAGUAGAUACAUAUAAAAUUUAGCAUCCCUCAGCAGAUGCUACCCAAAAAUUGUUCAAAAAUUCAAUAAAGUACAAAAUCAAACAACCUAAAACUACAAAUGUUUAUACAAAGUGGGAUUUAGAUA